GUUCCUUAUCACCAAGAAAACAUAUUCAAUAGCAGAGAUCACAGUGGAGCUGUCUUGGAUUACUAAAAUUUCAUUACUUCCAUCAAAUUUGUCAUGGCACAUUUACAGAUAGAUAAAUUAUCAUGGAAUACUACACCUGUCAAAAUAGAUGAUAUGGGCUCCUUUGAAGAUUGGUCUAGAACAUUCCAGAGAAGAUAUCAAGGAAUUAUUUCAGGAGGUAGCAAAGCCUGGCAAAGUGAAGAAAAUGUGACUGAAGAGAUUGAAUUAAUGUGCUGACAUUCACACCCUUUAACCUUAGAGAUGUUAUUGGUUCUAAGCUUCAGUUUCUUUACGUGUGCAAGGAAAUAAUAAUAUCUACCUCAGGCACAUGUUUUAUUCUCAAACAGAGCUCUCUAGUAGAGAAAAGGAAAACUAGUUUCUUUGUUCAAGGCAUCAACCACUUAUCAAGCCAUCUUUAGAUUUCCUAUAGGAUGGGCUCAGAGGAACUGUGUGCUGCCCAUAGAGUAGUUAUAUCUGUUUUAAUGAACUAUGUCUAAUAAAUAAACUAAACUUUCCAAAAUUUCAGAACAUAAUGGAUUUUUAGAUAUAUGUUAGUUCUCUUCUCCUCAUUGCCUAUAAUUAUUCCAGAAUUUUCUGGGUAACUAGCUAAGUGACUAGAUGAUGUCAUCUACCUCAUAGCAGUAAAUCAACAGAGAAAUAUGUGAGGAUUUUAAUGACAGUUUUUAGAAAUGGUACAAAAUGAGAAUUUCAUUAGCCUUCGUUAAAGGUGAUAGAAGCCAAUUUUACUAGAUUAAAACAUUUUUAAAUUUCUCUCAAACUAACUGUAUUAGUCUGUUUUCACACUGCUGAUAAAGAUGUACCCGAGACUGUAUAAUUUACAAAAGAAAGAGGUUUAAUUGGACUCAACUUUCCACAUCUGGGGAGGCCUCUCAAUCAUGGUGGAAGGCAAGGAGGAGCAAUUCAAGUCUUACAUGGCUGCCAGCAGGCAAAGAGAGAGCUUUUGCAGGGAGUCUUCUAUUUUUCAAAACCAUCAAAUUUCAUGAGACUGAUUCAUUAUCAUGACAACAGCACUGAAAAGACCUGCCCCCAUGAUUCAAUUACCUCCCAUUGGCUUCCUCCCACAACAUGUGGGAAUUCAAGAUGAGAUGUGGAUGGGAACACAGUCAAACCGUAUCACUAACCUUCAAUCAUUGAUUUAAUAAACGUUUGCCAACUCUGCUCAGUGUGCCAGGUACUGUUGUACCUUUCCAUUGGGUGG
This 1258-nucleotide long non-coding RNA is filed under the name Macaca mulatta (Rhesus monkey). RNAcentral's name for it is "lncRNA (ENSMMUG00000052350.1)". Lineage: Eukaryota; Metazoa; Chordata; Mammalia; Primates; Cercopithecidae. The record is from RNAcentral.